RNAcentral lists this long non-coding RNA (354 nucleotides) under Chinchilla lanigera (long-tailed chinchilla). Its description in RNAcentral is "lncRNA (ENSCLAG00000026086.1)". Lineage: Eukaryota; Metazoa; Chordata; Mammalia; Rodentia; Chinchillidae. The record is from RNAcentral.
GAUCCCCACUUUGACUCUUGAUUGGCUUCCAACGUUAACUCUCUUUCUCUAGAAAAUGUCCUGAGCAUUGUGAGCAAUGAUGAUCUUCCAAGUCUUUCUCUUGGUGGAAAGAGCAGCCUGGUGUGUGACUUAAUUUACUUCCUUUAAGAUCACAAGGCCGCCAGUCCCUGGAUUUCAAGAAAUACGGUUUAGAAGCCCAGAAGGCCUAGAUUCCAUUGAAUUUGGAUUUGAACUCGCCUGCUUACGUCACUGGGCUGGACACUCCAUUCAAAUCAGCCCCCAUUUCUCUACAGGUAAAAUACGAGUAGUGUAACUAUCUUGUAGGACUAUGAGGAGAAUUAGAGAAAAUUGCUU